This 83-nucleotide transfer RNA is filed under the name Spraguea lophii 42_110. It matches the Rfam family "tRNA". From Rfam's summary of the family: Transfer RNA (tRNA) molecules are approximately 80 nucleotides in length. Their secondary structure includes four short double-helical elements and three loops (D, anti-codon, and T loops). Further hydrogen bonds mediate the characteristic L-shaped molecular structure. tRNAs have two regions of fundamental functional importance: the anti-codon, which is responsible for specific mRNA codon recognition, and the 3' end, to which the tRNAs corresponding amino acid is attached (by aminoacyl-tRNA synthetases). tRNAs cope with the degeneracy of the genetic code in two manners: having more than one tRNA (with a specific anti-codon) for a particular amino acid; and 'wobble' base-pairing, i.e. permitting non-standard base-pairing at the 3rd anti-codon position. Lineage: Eukaryota; Fungi; Microsporidia; Spragueidae. The record is from Rfam by way of RNAcentral.
GACAAGAUGGCCGAGCGGUCUAAGGCGCUACGUUCAGGUCGUAGUCUAUUAUUUAGGCGCGGGUUCGAAUCCCGCUCUUGUCA